AUCCUCGAGGUGUUGAUCUCUCAGAAGGGGAGCAAAGGAUUGUAGGGAUCAGAUCUCCACAUGCUUGGAAGGGACUCUUGAUGCCAAGAAAAGAGAGCACCAAAGAACCCUCGCAAAACCAAGAUAGAUGUCUGCCCACACCUCUCUAUUCCUUAUGGUAUUUUACUUAGUUUUGUCGCACAAAAUAAUUGCAUACCCCAAUAGUCAGAGAUCCCUCCUUUAAAUAGGUGAUGCCCCAUAAUCUGAUCAAGACUUUUGAUUCAAAACCAUAUUUGAAUUAGUCCAAACUUUAUUUAAGAAGGAAAUCGAGUGG
RNAcentral lists this long non-coding RNA (313 nucleotides) under Elaeis guineensis (African oil palm). RNAcentral's name for it is "long non-coding RNA (EGUI_LNC071595)". The record is from RNAcentral. Lineage: Eukaryota; Viridiplantae; Streptophyta; Magnoliopsida; Arecales; Arecaceae.